UGAGGAAGGCCUUCGGGUCGUAAAGCUCUGUUGUGAGGGAAGAAGCGGUACCGUUCGAAUAGGGCGGUACCUUGACGGUACCUCACCAGAAAGCCACGGCUAACUACGUGCCAGCAGCCGCGGUAAUACGUAGGUGGCAAGCGUUGUCCGGAAUUAUUGGGCGUAAAGCGCGCGCAGGCGGCUUCUUAAGUCUGAUGUGAAAUCUCGGGGCUCAACCCCGAGCGGCCAUUGGAAACUGGGGAGCUUGAGUGCAGAAGAGGAGAGUGGAAUUCCACGUGUAGCGGUGAAAUGCGUAGAGAUGUGGAGGAACACCAGUGGCGAAGGCGACUCUCUGGUCUGUAACUGACGCUGAGGC
Molecule: ribosomal RNA, 355 nt
Filed under: Shouchella clausii
Lineage: Bacteria; Bacillati; Bacillota; Bacilli; Caryophanales; Bacillaceae
Description: bacterial SSU rRNA
Rfam family: Bacterial small subunit ribosomal RNA
Source: RNAcentral